This is a non-coding RNA of Solanum tuberosum (potato), 113 nucleotides long. The record is from Rfam. NCBI's taxonomy places the organism in Eukaryota, Viridiplantae, Streptophyta, Magnoliopsida, Solanales, Solanaceae.
UUGCUUGCUAGUGCAGCACCAUCAAGAUUCACAUAGAAAAUAUGGACUAUGAAAUGAAAUAUGCCCAAUUUUUGAAUACAUGAGAAUCUUGAUGAUGCUGCAUUGGCAAAUUG